Molecule: ribosomal RNA, 875 nt
Filed under: Pseudomonas taeanensis
Lineage: Bacteria; Pseudomonadati; Pseudomonadota; Gammaproteobacteria; Pseudomonadales; Pseudomonadaceae
Description: bacterial SSU rRNA
Rfam family: Bacterial small subunit ribosomal RNA
Source: RNAcentral
UUGCUUCUCUUGAGAGCGGCGGACGGGUGAGUAAUGCCUAGGAAUCUGCCUAGUGGUGGGGGAUAACGUUCGGAAACGGACGCUAAUACCGCAUACGUCCUACGGGAGAAAGCGGGGGAUCUUCGGACCUCGCGCCAUUAGAUGAGCCUAGGUCGGAUUAGCUAGUUGGUGAGGUAAUGGCUCACCAAGGCGACGAUCCGUAACUGGUCUGAGAGGAUGAUCAGUCACACUGGAACUGAGACACGGUCCAGACUCCUACGGGAGGCAGCAGUGGGGAAUAUUGGACAAUGGGCGAAAGCCUGAUCCAGCCAUGCCGCGUGUGUGAAGAAGGUCUUCGGAUUGUAAAGCACUUUAAGUUGGGAGGAAGGGUUGUAGAUUAAUACUCUGCAAUUUUGACGUUACCGACAGAAUAAGCACCGGCUAACUUCGUGCCAGCAGCCGCGGUAAUACGAAGGGUGCAAGCGUUAAUCGGAAUUACUGGGCGUAAAGCGCGCGUAGGUGGUUCGUUAAGUUGGAUGUGAAAGCCCCGGGCUCAACCUGGGAACUGCAUCCAAAACUGGCGAGCUAGAGUACGGUAGAGGGUAGUGGAAUUUCCUGUGUAGCGGUGAAAUGCGUAGAUAUAGGAAGGAACACCAGUGGCGAAGGCGACUACCUGGACUGAUACUGACACUGAGGUGCGAAAGCGUGGGGAGCAAACAGGAUUAGAUACCCUGGUAGUCCACGCCGUAAACGAUGUCAACUAGCCGUUGGAAUCCUUGAGAUUUUAGUGGCGCAGCUAACGCAUUAAGUUGACCGCCUGGGGAGUACGGCCGCAAGGUUAAAACUCAAAUGAAUUGACGGGGGCCCGCACAAGCGGUGGAGCAUGUGGUUUAAUU